UACGUAGGGUGCAAGCGUUGUCCGGAAUUAUUGGGCGUAAAGAGCUCGUAGGCGGUUUGUCACGUCGGCCGUGAAAACUCGGGGCUCAACCCCGAGCCUGCGGUCGAUACGGGCAGACUAGAGUGCUGUAGGGGAGACUGGAAUUCCUGGUGUAGCGGUGAAAUGCGCAGAUAUCAGGAAGAACACCAAUGGCGAAGGCAGCUCUCUGGGACGGUACUGACGCUGAGACGCGAAAGCGUGGGGAGCGAACAGG
RNAcentral lists this ribosomal RNA (253 nucleotides) under uncultured bacterium. RNAcentral's name for it is "partial 16S ribosomal RNA". It matches the Rfam family "Bacterial small subunit ribosomal RNA", at positions 524 to 776 of the family's 1533-position model. The record is from RNAcentral.